This 1432-nucleotide unclassified non-coding RNA is filed under the name uncultured Neocallimastigales. RNAcentral's name for it is "partial contains small subunit ribosomal RNA, internal transcribed spacer 1, 5.8S ribosomal RNA, internal transcribed spacer 2, and large subunit ribosomal RNA". The stretch from base 657 to 1432 matches the Rfam family "Eukaryotic large subunit ribosomal RNA", at positions 1 to 628 of the family's 3401-position model. Lineage: Eukaryota; Fungi; Neocallimastigomycota; Neocallimastigomycetes; Neocallimastigales. The record is from RNAcentral.
UUUCCGUAGGUGAACCUGCGGAAGGAUCAUUAAAAAAUUGGACUCCAUUGGUGAGUUCAUUAAUAAUCCCUACCCUUUGUGAAUUUGUUUGUUUGAAUAAUUUUUUUCCAAAAAAAAUUAUUGAAUGUCUUUCCUUGUUUUGGUGGAGCUUGUAAAGUGAAACCAGGCAGGGGAAUGGCAAACAAUAAUUAUUUUUGAAAAAGACCUUUUUUUAAAAUUAAACUUUUUGUAUUCAUUUGUCUAAAAUUAAUUUUUAUAAUAUAAAAACAACUUUUGACAAUGGAUCUCUUGGUUCUCGCAACGAUGAAGAACGCAGCAAAAUGCGAUAAGUAGUGUGAAUUGCAGAAUACGUGAAUCAUCGAAUCUUCGAACGCAUAUUGCACUUUUUAGUUUACUAAAAAAGUAUGUCUGUUUGAGUAUCAGUAAAAUAUUCUCAUAAAAAACAUUGUUUUUUUUAUGGUAUGAGUGUUUUACAACGAUAACAAGUUGUUUCACUUUAAAUUCUUUGUUAUCAAAAAAAUCAUUAAAAGCUAAUUUUAAAGAUUUUUAAAAUUGGAUAAAAUUUUCCCGUAAAAAGGAAUAACCUAAACAAUUUUAAAAAUUAAAAUUGGUUUGAUUUUUUUUGAAACCCAAAGGAAAAUAAAACGAAAUUAACUUGAUCUCAAAUCAGAUAAGAGUACCCGCUGAACUUAAGCAUAUCAAUAAGCGGAGGAAAAGAAACUAACUAGGAUUCCCUCAGUAACGGCGAGUGAAGCGGGAAGAGCUCAAAUUUGAAAUCUUCAAGGUUUUACCUUGACGGAUUGUAGUUUAAAGAGGUGUUUUCUGUUGGAGUUUUGGUAAAAGUUCUUUGGAAAAGGACAUCAUAGAGGGUGAGAAUCCCGUAUUUGACCAUUAUCUCCAGCUUUGUGAUACACUUUCAAAGAGUCGGAUUGUUUGGGAAUGCAGUCCAAAAUGGGUGGUAAUUUCAUCUAAAGCUAAAUACUGGCGAGAGACCGAUAGCGAACAAGUACCGUGAGGGAAAGAUGAAAAGAACUUUGAAAAGAGAGUUAAACAGUACGUGAAAUUGUCAAAAGGGAAGCGUUUGACACCAGUGUUGUUUCUCGAAAAUCAAUUAAAAAAGGCCGGAUUUUGUGUUGUAUUGACUUUAUCAGCUUUCUGCACUCUUUUCUUGUCUUUUUUAAUGCACUUUUCGUUUAACAAGUCAACAUCAAUUUCUUUUGUUGUAAAAGGGUCAUUGGAAGGUGGCUUUCUUUUCGGAGAAAGUGUUUAUAGCCUUUGGCCUCUGCAAUCGGAGAGAUUGAGGUCUGCAGCGUAGAUCCUUCGGGGUUAGAUACAUUUGUGCUAAGUUAUAGCCUUUCAUAGACAACUUGUUGACUAUGAUCAGUCAUGUAGCUUACUCGCUUAUGCUAUUUUACCUACGCUUAGGAUGUUG